GUGGAAGAUUGGAUGGUCGCUCGGUGCCUAGCGCAUCGAGAGGAAAGUCCGGACUCCACGGGCAGGGCGCUGGGUAACUCCCAGGCGGAGCAAUCCGACACCAGCACCACAGAAAUCAAACCGCCGAUGGCCAAGGCGAUGGGAUCCCAUCUGGUCGCUGCGGCUCAGGUAAGGGUGAAACGGUGGGGUAAGAGCCUACCGCGGUGGUGGUGACAUCACCGGCACGGUAAGCGUCGCCCGGUGCAAGGCCAAAU
This 254-nucleotide RNase P RNA is filed under the name Nitrospira sp. Its description in RNAcentral is "partial RNase P RNA component class A". It matches the Rfam family "Bacterial RNase P class A", at positions 1 to 233 of the family's 367-position model. From Rfam's summary of the family: Ribonuclease P (RNase P) is a ubiquitous endoribonuclease, found in archaea, bacteria and eukarya as well as chloroplasts and mitochondria. Its best characterised activity is the generation of mature 5'-ends of tRNAs by cleaving the 5'-leader elements of precursor-tRNAs. Cellular RNase Ps are ribonucleoproteins. The record is from RNAcentral. Lineage: Bacteria; Pseudomonadati; Nitrospirota; Nitrospiria; Nitrospirales; Nitrospiraceae.